RNAcentral lists this ribosomal RNA (209 nucleotides) under uncultured bacterium. RNAcentral's name for it is "partial 16S ribosomal RNA". It matches the Rfam family "Bacterial small subunit ribosomal RNA", at positions 568 to 774 of the family's 1533-position model. The record is from RNAcentral.
AGCGUAGACGGCAAUGCAAGUCUGGAGUGAAAACCCGGGGCUUAACCCCGGGACUGCUUUGGAAACUGUGUAGCUUGAGUACCGGAGGGGUAAGCGGAAUUCCUAGUGUAGCGGUGAAAUGCGUAGAUAUUAGGGGGAACGACCAGUGGCGAAGGCGGCUUACUGGACGGUAACUGACGUUGAGGCUCGAAAGCGUGGGGAGGCAAACA